Molecule: non-coding RNA, 748 nt
Filed under: Agriocnemis femina
Lineage: Eukaryota; Metazoa; Arthropoda; Insecta; Odonata; Coenagrionidae
Source: RNAcentral
AUAGAGUUUUAUUCUUGCUAAAUUAUCUUUUUAUUUUUGUACUAUAUAUUAUUUUUGUCUUCUAAAAGAAGAAUUUUGUAGUAGGGAUUAUUAUUGUUCAAAUUAAUUUGGAAAUAGCAAAUUUUUUAAUUCUGGUUAAUUUCGUGCCAGCAUCCGCGGUUACACGAUUGGGGUAAAAGAUAAUUAUUAGUUAAUAGUUACUUUUAUUUUUUAUUAAAUUUUUACUUUUUAGGUUAAAUUUAUAUUUUAUUUAUUAUUUAUUUUUUUGGAUUCUGUGAAAUCUUUAUUAUAAACAAGGAUUAGAUACCCUUUUAUUUUAGAUGUUAAUUUUUUACUUGGGUAGUAUUAGUUAUGUUCUUGAAACCCAAAGAAUUUGGCGGUAUUUUAGUCUUUUCAGAGGAACCUGUUCUUUAAUCGAUAAUCCACGAUUUUAUUAACUUUUUCUUGCUUUCAGUUUUUAUACCUCCGUCAUAAGAAUAUUUUUUUAGAAUAAAUUUUCUUUUUUGUUAAAACAAAGAUGUCAGGUCAAGGUGAAGCUUAUGUAGAAGUAGAAAUGGGUUACAAUAAAUUUAUUUAUACGGAUUUAUUUAAAUUGUAUUUAAUAAUGAAGGUGGAUUUGGAAGUAAAAUUAAUUAAAUAUUUUUUUUGAUUUUAGCUCUAAAAUAUGCACACAUCGCCCGUCGCUCUCAUAUUAAAAUGAGAUAAGUCGUAACAUAGUAGAUGUAUUGGAAAAUGUAUCUAGUAAGUU